Molecule: long non-coding RNA, 270 nt
Organism: Lolium rigidum
Lineage: Eukaryota; Viridiplantae; Streptophyta; Magnoliopsida; Poales; Poaceae
Exons: 3
Source: RefSeq, a predicted model, not a curated record
UGAUCAUGGAAACGAGCAAGACUUGGAGGUGCUAAUCUUACACGAGCACACCAAUUGCAUCAUCCAGUAGAUCAGAUUUGCUGGACUCAUCAUAUAUGGUACAUAUGUGCAUACGUUUUCUAUCACAAUGGAACUCUAGAUAAUUGUUUGUUCCUACACAUGGAUUUUAUUGCGGAGAUUUUUCAAGCAGCACAGUGUAGAGAGCAAAGGAUUUGCAGAAGGAGCGAAUCGAAGACUUGAUCAUCUUGGGAUUUAACAGAUUAAUUCAGU